CCCUUAGAUGUUCUGGGCCGCACGCGCGCUACACUGACUGGUGCAACAAGUGUCGCACCUUGGCCGAUAGGUCUGGGUAAUCUUUGAACGCUGUUCGUGAUUGGGAUAGACCUUUGCAAUUAUGGGUCUUCAACGAGGAAUUCCUAGUAAACGCAAGUCAUCAGCUUGCAUUGAUUACGUCCCUGCCCUUUGUACACACCGCCCGUCGCACCUACCGAUUGAAUGGUCCGGUGAAAUCUCGGGACGGCGGCUUGGUCGCUUGCGUCCGACUGCUGAAACUUGAUUAAACCAUAUCAUUUAGAGGAAGGUGAAGUCGUAACA
RNAcentral lists this ribosomal RNA (321 nucleotides) under uncultured eukaryote. Its description in RNAcentral is "partial 18S ribosomal RNA". It matches the Rfam family "Eukaryotic small subunit ribosomal RNA", at positions 1470 to 1796 of the family's 1831-position model. The record is from RNAcentral.